CAAGCUUGUAACCCGAGUGGGGGCUUUGAGGUGCUGGAACAUUGGCUCAGUAUUAGCUGGUCGGGUUCGGGUUGGCUAUUUACUGGCCCGCCCAUUCCAAGCCAGGAGUUGAACCCUGUGGCUCGAGCGAAGGCUCUGGGUUACUUGGUUUCUAGAGCGGAGGGAACCGCGUAAGGCUGGCUUCACAGAGCAACGACUACCUCCCGCUCUUGGCAGUGGAAGGAUAACGGGUCGGUGGUCACUUGGAUCCCAUCAUGGCUC
This 261-nucleotide signal recognition particle RNA is filed under the name Prunus dulcis (almond). RNAcentral describes it as "sRNA ncRNA". It matches the Rfam family "Plant signal recognition particle RNA", at positions 17 to 274 of the family's 305-position model. The record is from RNAcentral. Lineage: Eukaryota; Viridiplantae; Streptophyta; Magnoliopsida; Rosales; Rosaceae.